UAGGGAAUCUUCCACAAUGGGCGAAAGCCUGAUGGAGCAACGCCGCGUGUGUGAUGAAGGGUUUCGGCUCGUAAAACACUGUUGCAAGAGAAGAAUGGCAUUGAGAGUAACUGUUCAAUGUGUGACGGUAUCUUACCAGAAAGGAACGGCUAAAUACGUGUCAG
Molecule: ribosomal RNA, 164 nt
Filed under: uncultured bacterium
Lineage: Bacteria
Description: partial 16S rRNA
Rfam family: Bacterial small subunit ribosomal RNA
Source: RNAcentral